This is a long non-coding RNA of Octopus sinensis (East Asian common octopus), 3592 nucleotides long. RefSeq lists it as uncharacterized. The record is from RefSeq and is a predicted model, not a curated record. The transcript is spliced from 2 exons. Lineage: Eukaryota; Metazoa; Mollusca; Cephalopoda; Octopoda; Octopodidae.
ACACUAAUUAAAAUCUUCAGUCUGAAAGUCUAUCUGAAAACAAUAUGGUUUAUUGAUGUUUUCUUUCCUUGUUUUAUCUUUUGAACAGAUUACUUUUGUUGAAUUAGUAGUCUAAUUUAAUCAAUCAUAGCCAUUCUCCUCAAAAAUGGAGAAAAUUUACAACAUUAAUAGGUGUACACUUCUUGAAGCAUAUACGCAUGUGUUUGACUCUUUGAAUAAACCACUUCACUGGUGAAGAAAAAAAUUUCAUACAAGUAAAAGACAAACAAAUAAAUGAAAUAAUUGGUCAUCAAUUAAUCAAAUUGUUUAUAUCUGCUUUACUUGUUUUGGAAAUAAAAUGGUUUGAUAAAGCUGGAGAACUAAGUAAAAAAUAAGAUCGAAAAUAUAUGAUAUUAAUAAACAGAUGGUUUUGAAUAUAAAGGGAAAUAGGAAAAUAUGCAAAUGAAAUGGAGGUCAACGACUUUUCAAAAAGGUAAAUUGAUAAUAUUCACUGAGCCCAAGCGAGAAACAAACAGAUAUACCAACAGGAAAUGAAGAGGCAUGCCAAGAUUUUAGCUCUAGCUGCCAACCACAGUAACUUGGAUACCGCCAGCUUUUUGAACAUGACUGGGUUCUUCAUACUCGGGGUUGGGAAAGUGUUGGAUGUGUCGUUUGUAGCCAGAGGAGAAAAACAUUCUCAGCAGUCAGACAUCAUUUCAAUGGCCAAGUUCAACCAGCAGAUCCAGGACAUCAUCGAUAACUCCAGCGAGUUAAUAAGGACUACUUCCAAGCGGUUAAAGAUAACAGAAUCCGUUAUCGGAAGUGUAGUGCAAGUGGGUAUCAGGUAAAGGCCUACAUGAUAAGUAAGGGUCAGUUCAUGUAUGACAAGACCCGGGCAAAUUAUGUGAUCAUGUGAUUCCCAGUGUCACUUGGCCUUCUAGUGUGCCGUAUUUGAACUUGUUGGAGCAUCAUCAAGAGAUAAGAAUUGGCCAGCAGUUCUGCAGUGCCACAGACAUGUUGGGGGUGGGGUGGGAUCUUCUGUUGUAGGUGUGGCAGAUGACAUUGUCAGAGGAUACCUGAUGGCAGUUGCUUCUGUGGCUGCAUUGGGGCCAUCAUUAGGGUUCAGGGUAGUUUUAUUUCUUUGAUGUAUUAAGUUGAACAUGUGUGUCAUUUUGCUGGGUGUAUCCAUUGUUAAUGUUUGGUAUUCUGGAUUUUUCUUCUUUAGUUUUAUUCUCAGUUGCCUGACACAUCCUGAGUGUGAGUGAGUGGUUGGUGGUGAUGGUUAGUGAUGGAGGAGGUGGAAAUCUCUUGGGAUAGGAUACUUAUAAUGUAACUCAAACCUAACUCAAUUUCAAGUACAGUCAACUUUAAAAGCAAUAAAUAGCAAAUUCUUUAACAUACGAAGAAAAAUAUUUAUUAAAGUGUAAUUUCAUGGCUUCAGUAAUUGGAAAGUUAACACAUAGCACAUCCAAAAUGUAUGUAAAACUGUAGAAGUGAAAUUACAAAACAGACAUGGUGCUGAUCCUUCAGUCCAAAAAUCUCAAAUUCAAAUCCACAGUAAAUGUUUUGUGGUUCAUUUCUGCAUUAUUCGGUCCUCCUAGAUGCAAAGUGGUACAGAUCUUCUUGAAGUGUUAUCUUGGUUAUACCGAUGUCCAGAAAAUUCAUCUAGCAUCAGAUAAAAACCAUAAAAGUGAAACCCCAAAAGUUAAUCAGAGACACACUUUGUUAUAUUGAAAAUUGUUACUGGAGAGCUGCAGUUGGAUGUCUUCAAGUAGUUGUAUGAAUUAGAAGUAGUAGUCAGUCAAAUGCUUAGUUUCAGAGCAAGCUAAAACUAUGCUUGAGUCCAUACAAGACCUUGGGCAAGUGUCUUCUACCAGGGACUGAGGUUGACUAAAACUCUGAGUGAAAUCUGAUAGACACUGUGGGAAAGCCCAUUGGAGAGACAGUUCUUGUUUUUAGAUGGUAGACUUCAUCAAAUUUUCUUAACUUAUUGGUUCUGGAGAAAGGAGUAGUGCCCUUAACAGGCUCUGCCUAACUAGUGAGAGUUAUGCCAUUAAUAUUCUUCUUGAACAUUUAUAAGUUAACACCUGCAGGAAAGACAUGAACAGGGAGAAAAUUUCAGAGGGGCAAUGCUCUGAGGAGGAAGGAUUGGACAUUGUGAUAAGUAUGGUGCCUGGGAAGUUAUGCAGUAAACAUUAUGAGAGGAGGAGAUGGCACGAGUAAAGCCAGCUCUGAGGGGUACAGCCUAUCAUAAAAGGGGUAGCAAAGGUAUAGAGAGAAGAUAGCACAAUAUGGGCCGGAACUGGAGUAUAUCUGUGAGUGAUUUUGUACCAGUCAGUCAGGUGGCCUGUUUCUGAAUAUGGUCUAGGAUUUUUAUGUGUGCAGUGGCAGCACUAUCCCGGAUGUAAAAGCAAUACUCCAUGCUGGGCAUCACCUGAGCUCUGUAGUGUUCAGUUUAACAUCAAUUCUUACCUCUCUCUGGUAUGCCUUUAGCAGAAUCUAGACUUUGGAAAACAAUCAGGCAAGUCUCUGCUCUGAGAAUAAUUUCUUCACUUCCUCACUCUCAGUGCCCUUGAAAAGGGUCGUGAGCAUUGCUUUUCCUUCCCUAUAUCAUAUGCAGUGACUGUGGUUGCAUUUUGUUUCCCAAGGAUUCACAGGAGAUGGUAAACAACAAAAGCUAAAAACUCAUUUACAAAGCUAAUCUAUAAGGUGUUUCAAAAUCCACAUACACCUUUAAUGCACAACACCUGGCCCUUUUUACUCAAAUAGUUGGAAGCUGAGAUGAUCCUUAUUUCUUCCUCCCUACAUUUACCUGAUAAACUGUUUUUCAGUGGAAACAGUUCAAUAUCAAAAUUUGUGAGAUUCUCAAGUCAUCUAAUAAUCAAAGCACCAAUACCAUAUUUAUACAAGAGUGAGCAUGUAUGUGUACAUAUAUGUAUAUGAGCAUACCUGUAUGCAUAUGUGUGUGUGUGUGUGUGUAAACAGAACUAAGUCAUAGUUCCAUGUGCUUCAAAAACAGAAAUUUUGUCAUUUAUACAGGUGUUUGUAAGGAGUAUCUGUCAAACCAAUGACAACAUGGAAAAAUAAAAAAUAAACAAUAAACUGAUAAUGAUGAUAAGAAGAUAGAGCGGUGAGAGAAGAGAAUGGAGAAGGAGCAGGAACGCAUUUGCACUAACAUAAAAUGCUAUCAAGAACAUUUGUUUCCAUCACAUAAUACAAAAUGCAACAAGAUGUUUGCUUUUAUUUUGCUAUCUGUAUCAAGAAUCCGGGUUAUAUCUCUUAAUAUAACAGUUUCCUUAUCUGCCUUGUUCAUCAAAUGAUUCCAAUUUCUAAUUAUUGGAGAUUUCGUUUGUUUAUUUCUUUAGCUUUCAUUUUAUCAUCUUCAAUUUAGUGUCUUUUGCUAGAAGAAUAAAGGCAACAGCAUGCCAAUUGAUAUGGAAAACCUCAGCAGAAAAUCUAUUUUAUCUUUCACUCCUUUUGCCAUUCCAUUAUCUAACAUGAUCCUGGUUUUAUUUUGCUGAUAAUUUAUGUAUUCAAAUUUCUCAAAACUGAAAGAAGUAACUUCAGAAUUUGAUAAUUUGGAACAUAGAGAAACAAGAAUGAAUGCAAAAAA